This is a non-coding RNA of Trichodelitschia bisporula, 94 nucleotides long. Lineage: Eukaryota; Fungi; Ascomycota; Dothideomycetes; Phaeotrichales; Phaeotrichaceae. The record is from the annotation of a GenBank genome assembly.
GGUUCAGUGGUGUAGUCGGUUAUCACACCUGUCUAACAUGCGCUCCUUUGCGAGUGUUCACAGGUGGUCCCCGGUUCGAAUCCGGGCUGAAUCA